This 948-nucleotide ribosomal RNA is filed under the name Mycena maculata. Its description in RNAcentral is "LSU rRNA". It matches the Rfam family "Eukaryotic large subunit ribosomal RNA", at positions 38 to 967 of the family's 3401-position model. The record is from RNAcentral. Lineage: Eukaryota; Fungi; Basidiomycota; Agaricomycetes; Agaricales; Mycenaceae.
GCAUAUCAAUAAGCGGAGGAAAAGAAACUAACAAGGAUUCCCCUAGUAACUGCGAGUGAAGCGGGAAAAGCUCAAAUUUAAAAUCUGGCGGUCCUUGUGGCCGUCCGAGUUGUAAUUUAGAGAAGUGUUAUCCGCGCUGGACCGUGUACAAGUCUCCUGGAAUGGAGCGUCAUAGAGGGUGAGAAUCCCGUCUUUGACACGGACUGCCAGGGCAUUUGUGAUGCGCUCUCGAAGAGUCGAGUUGUUUGGGAAUGCAGCUCAAAAUGGGUGGUAAAUUCCAUCUAAAGCUAAAUAUUGGGGAGAGACCGAUAGCGAACAAGUACCGUGAGGGAAAGAUGAAAAGAACUUUGGAAAGAGAGUUAAACAGUACGUGAAAUUGCUGAAAGGGAAACGCUUGAAGUCAGUCGCGUCGUUCAGGACUCAGCCUUGCUUUGCUUGGUGUACUUCCUGUUCGACGGGUCAGCAUCAAUUUUGGUCGGUGGAUAAAGGCUCGGAGAAUGUGGCAUCUUCGGAUGUGUUAUAGCUCUGGGUCGCAUACAUCGGCUGGGAUUGAGGAACUCAGCACGCCGCAAGGCCGGGGACUUGUCCCACGUACGUGCUUAGGAUGCUGGCAUAAUGGCUUUAAUCGACCCGUCUUGAAACACGGACCAAGGAGUCUAACAUGCCUGCGAGUGUUUGGGUGGAAAACCCGAGCGCGUAAUGAAAGUGAAAGUUGAGAUCCCUGUCGUGGGGAGCAUCGACGCCCGGAGCAGACCUUUUGUGACGCAUCCGCGGUAGAGCAUGUAUGUUGGGACCCGAAAGAUGGUGAACUAUGCCUGAAUAGGGUGAAGCCAGAGGAAGACUAUGGUGGAGGCUCGUAGCGAUUCUGACGUGCAAAUCGAUCGUCGAAUUUGGGUAUAGGGGGCGAAAGACUAAUCGAACCAUCUAGUAGCUGGUUCCUGCCGAAGU